GACGAACGCUGGCGGCGUGCUUAACACAUGCAAGUCGAACGGAAAGGCCCUGCUUUUGUGGGGUGCUCGAGUGGCGAACGGGUGAGUAACACGUGAGUAACCUGCCCUUGACUUUGGGAUAACUUCAGGAAACUGGGGCUAAUACCGGAUCGGAUCUCCUGCUGCAGGGUGGGGGGUGGAUAGUUUCGGCGGUUGGGGAUGGACGCGCGGCUUAUCAGCUUGUUGGUUGGGUAGUGGCUUACCAAGGCAGUGAAGGGUCGCCGGCAUGAGAGGGUGACCGGCCACAUUGGGACUGAGAUACGGACCAGACUCGUACGGGAGGCAGCAGUGGGGAAUAUUGCACAAUGGGCGGAAGCCUGAUGCAGCAACGCCGCGUGCGGGAUGACGGCCUUCGGGGUGUAAAACGCUUUCGCCUGUGACGAAGCGUGAGUGACGGUAAUGGGUAAAGAAGCACCGGCUAACUACGUG
This 468-nucleotide ribosomal RNA is filed under the name uncultured bacterium. Its description in RNAcentral is "partial 16S ribosomal RNA". It matches the Rfam family "Bacterial small subunit ribosomal RNA", at positions 28 to 507 of the family's 1533-position model. The record is from RNAcentral.